AUACGGAGGGUGCGAGCGUUAAUCGGAAUUACCGGGCGUAAAGCGUACGUAGGCGGUUGGUUAAGUUAGAUGUGAAAGCCCCGGGCUUAACCUGGGAACUGCAUUUAAAACUGGCGAACUAGAGUUGAGUAGAGGGGAGUGGAAUUUCAGGUGUAGCGGUGAAAUGCGUAGAGAUCUGAAGGAACACCAGUGGCGAAGGCGACUCCCUGGACUCGAACUGACGCUGAGGUACGAAAGCGUGGGUAGCAAACGGGAUUAGAAACCCUAGUAGUCC
This 274-nucleotide ribosomal RNA is filed under the name uncultured bacterium. RNAcentral describes it as "partial 16S ribosomal RNA". It matches the Rfam family "Bacterial small subunit ribosomal RNA", at positions 523 to 796 of the family's 1533-position model. The record is from RNAcentral.